Etheostoma cragini (Arkansas darter) is the source of this 598-nucleotide long non-coding RNA. RefSeq lists it as uncharacterized. The record is from RefSeq and is a predicted model, not a curated record. The transcript is spliced from 2 exons. NCBI's taxonomy places the organism in Eukaryota, Metazoa, Chordata, Actinopteri, Perciformes, Percidae.
GUGUGUGUGUGUGUGUUGUGAAAGAGAGAGAGAGUGAGUUUGCGCAGCUAGAUCUCCAUCACCUCAGAUGACCUCCUCUCCUUCCUCCUCCCACACUUCCUGUUCCACCUCUUUCUCCUUUUACCCCUCCUCUUUGGCACCAGUACCUCUGCACCUCUUCCUCCUUUGAAUCCUUCCUCAGGAGUUUCCUUUCCUUCUCGCCUGUCCCCUCUGCUGUCCCUUUUUCUCCUUGCCCCUCCCCUCCCCUCCUCUUCCUCAGCCACUGGAGAAGGGUAUAUUGUGGCAUCCCUAGUUGCUCUGACUCUCAGCCAGUUGGAUCCGACUACCUGGACAACCCACAUCCUUUCCUCUUUUAUAGGCUUGCCUUGGAUUAAUUGACCACUUUAGGUAAACAUAAAUUGAGAUGUUGUUUCAGCAAAGCAACAACAUGGAAUUUGCUGAAGUGUUUUAUUAUUUUGUGGUAACACGUCUUGCCAUAACUGAGAAAAGAUUGUACCCGGUGUUUGUUUGUGUUUGCCUAGCGUGCGGGACUUGCCAGUGAAUCUGUCUUAUUGUAAGUGCUGUUGGAAUAAGAACUAAUAAACGGUCAUCAAAAGUG